This 439-nucleotide ribosomal RNA is filed under the name uncultured Salinifilum sp. RNAcentral's name for it is "bacterial SSU rRNA". It matches the Rfam family "Bacterial small subunit ribosomal RNA", at positions 338 to 775 of the family's 1533-position model. Lineage: Bacteria; Bacillati; Actinomycetota; Actinomycetes; Pseudonocardiales; Pseudonocardiaceae. The record is from RNAcentral.
CCUACGGGAGGCAGCAGUGGGGAAUAUUGCGCAAUGGGCGGAAGCCUGACGCAGCGACGCCGCGUGGGGGAUGACGGCCUUCGGGUUGUAAACCUCUUUCGGCUCUGGCGAAGUCUCCAGGUUUUCUUGGGGGUGACGGUAGGGGUUGAAGAAGCGCCGGCUAACUACGUGCCAGCAGCCGCGGUGAGACGUAGGGCGCGAGCGUUGUCCGGAUUUAUUGGGCGUAAAGAGCUCGUAGGCGGCUUGUCGCGUCAAUCGUGAAAUUCUGCGGCUUAACUGUGGGAGUGCGGUUGAUACGGGCGGGCUGGAGUUCGGUAGGGGAGACUGGAAUUCCUGGUGUAGCGGUGAAAUGCGCAGAUAUCAGGAGGAACACCGGUGGCGAAGGCGGGUCUCUGGGCCGAUACUGACGCUGAGGAGCGAAAGCGUGGGGAGCGAACAG